This 697-nucleotide long non-coding RNA is filed under the name Gopherus agassizii (Agassiz's desert tortoise). RNAcentral describes it as "lncRNA (ENSGAGG00000020798.1)". Lineage: Eukaryota; Metazoa; Chordata; Testudines; Testudinidae. The record is from RNAcentral.
CAAAAAGCCCAUCAGGGCAGGGGGAGUUUAGCAGCCAAGCCUUACCACUCUCAAGAGACUGUGAGGUGAUUCUCUUUCGUCACUGCUUGGAUCAGAACUACAGCCUUGCAGUGGCUGGCACUUUUCCUCUACGUUGUGAGAGAGAGAGAAUUGGCUGGAAUUGCUUUCCAUAUAGCUGGCUUGAAAUGCAGCAUUGAAAAGAGUCCAUAGUUCAAGAUAUUCCGUGGACUGCAGCUACUGCCUGCUAGUAUUUGAAGGCCUGUGGAAAGACAGAGGACAUGCCAGCAGCUGUCAAGCUUGACUUAACAUCUAUAUUGUUUCUCAGUUCACUAAGGGAAAUGAAUGGAGCAGAUUGUUGAUUUUUGCACUAUAAGAAUGUGGUCAUGAUUUCGAGAAACAACUGCCCAUCUGUCUCUGGAGACAUUUCUGAGUGCAGUUUGUACUUCCUUUGGGAUGGUGGGGAAGGAGAGCUUUAGAGAUUUGAAAUGAAAAAAAAAAAGUAAAUGGGACAAAAUCAUCUAUUGAGUAAAAUCCAUUGAUUGCAAUGAAGUUACACCAGGGAUGAUUGUCGCCCAGUAAUUCCAUGGUGUAGAAUUGUACAUCGGACAGGCUCUGACUGUGAUGGCCUUAUGUAGACAGUGAUGUUGUUUCUUGAAAUCUCUUGAUUGUGUGUGGUCCCAGAAUUGCAGCAUUAAUU